AGAGUUUGAUCCUGGCUCAGGACGAACGCUGGCGGCGUGCUUAACACAUGCAAGUCGAACGGUGAAGCCCUUCGGGUGGAUCAGUGGCGAACGGGUGAGUAACACGUGGGCAAUCUGCCUCGGAUUCUGGGAUAACACCGGGAAACCGGUGCUAAUACCGGAUAUGACCUGGGAGCGCAUGCUCCUGGGUGUAAAGGUCC
RNAcentral lists this ribosomal RNA (200 nucleotides) under uncultured bacterium. Its description in RNAcentral is "partial 16S ribosomal RNA". It matches the Rfam family "Bacterial small subunit ribosomal RNA", at positions 8 to 211 of the family's 1533-position model. The record is from RNAcentral.